GGGAUCUUAGCUCAGCUGGGAGAGCAUCUGCCUUACAAGCAGAGGGUCAUAGGUUCGAGCCCUAUAGGUCCCACUA
Molecule: transfer RNA, 76 nt
Filed under: Lachnospiraceae bacterium
Lineage: Bacteria; Bacillati; Bacillota; Clostridia; Lachnospirales; Lachnospiraceae
Description: tRNA-Val
Rfam family: tRNA
About the family: Transfer RNA (tRNA) molecules are approximately 80 nucleotides in length. Their secondary structure includes four short double-helical elements and three loops (D, anti-codon, and T loops). Further hydrogen bonds mediate the characteristic L-shaped molecular structure. tRNAs have two regions of fundamental functional importance: the anti-codon, which is responsible for specific mRNA codon recognition, and the 3' end, to which the tRNAs corresponding amino acid is attached (by aminoacyl-tRNA synthetases). tRNAs cope with the degeneracy of the genetic code in two manners: having more than one tRNA (with a specific anti-codon) for a particular amino acid; and 'wobble' base-pairing, i.e. permitting non-standard base-pairing at the 3rd anti-codon position.
Source: RNAcentral